GAAUUCGCCCUUAGAGUUUGAUCCUGGCUCAGGAUGAACGCUGGCGGCGUGCCUAACACAUGCAAGUCGAACGAAGCACUGAAAACGGAGAUUCGUCGAAGUUUUCUUUGACUUAGUGGCGGACGGGUGAGUAAUGCGUGAGCAACCUGCCUUUCAGAGGGGGACAACAGUUGGAAACGACUGCUAAUACCGCAUAACAUAUUCGGAUCGCAUGGUCUGAAUAUCAAAGAUUUAUCGCUGAAAGAUGGGCUCACGUCUGAUUAGCUAGUUGGUGAGGUAACGGCUCACCAAGGCUGCGAUCAGUAGCCGGACUGAGAGGUUGAACGGCCACAUUGGGACUGAGAUACGGCCCAGACUCCUACGGGAGGCAGCAGUGGGGAAUAUUGGGCAAUGGGCGAAAGCCUGACCCAGCAACGCCGCGUGAAGGAAGAAGGCCUUCGGGUUGUAAACUUCUUUUAUCAGGGACGAAGGAAGUGACGGUACCUGAUGAAUAAGCCACGGCUAACUACGUGCCAGCAGCCGCGGUAAUACGUAGGUGGCAAGCGUUAUCCGGAUUUACUGGGUGUAAAGGGCGCGUAGGCGGGGAUGCAAGUCAGAUGUGAAAUCUAUGGGCUCAACCCAUAAACUGCAUUUGAAACUGUAUCUCUUGAGUGUCGGAGAGGUAGAUGGAAUUCCUAGUGUAGCGGUGAAAUGCGUAGAUAUUAGGAGGAACACCAGUGGCGAAGGCGAUCUACUGGACGAUAACUGACGCUGAGGCGCGAAAGCGUGGGGAGCAAACAGGAUUAGAUACCCUGGUAGUCCACGCCGUAA
RNAcentral lists this ribosomal RNA (810 nucleotides) under uncultured bacterium. RNAcentral describes it as "bacterial SSU rRNA". It matches the Rfam family "Bacterial small subunit ribosomal RNA", at positions 1 to 805 of the family's 1533-position model. The record is from RNAcentral.